RNAcentral lists this ribosomal RNA (460 nucleotides) under uncultured bacterium. RNAcentral's name for it is "partial 16S ribosomal RNA". It matches the Rfam family "Bacterial small subunit ribosomal RNA", at positions 338 to 795 of the family's 1533-position model. The record is from RNAcentral.
CCUACGGGUGGCAGCAGUGAGCAAUAUUGGUCAAUGGCCGGAAGGCUGAACCAGCCAUGCCGCGUGAAGGUCAGUGCACUAUGGGCGUUAAACUUCUUUUGUGCGGGAGCAAUAAUGGUCACGUGUGGCCAGACGAGAGUACCGUACGAAUAAGCAUCGGCUAACUCCGUGCCAGCAGCCGCGGUAAUACGGGGGAUGCAAGCGUUAUCCGGAUUUAUUGGGUUUAAAGGGUGCGUAGGCUGUGAGGUAAGUCAGCGGUGAAAUGCCCACGCUCAACGGGGUGAAGUGCCAUUGAUACUGCCUUGCUGGAAUGCGGAUGCCGUGGGAGGAAUGUGUGGUGUAGCGGUGAAAUGCAUAGAUAUCACACAGAACACCGAUUGCGAAGGCAGCUCACGAAUCCGCGAUUGACGCUGAUGCACGAAAGCGUGGGUAUCAAACAGGAUUAGAUACCCCUGUAGUC